CCACUGGGACUGAGACACUGCCCAGACUCCUACGGGAGGCUGCAGUCGAGAAUCAUCCGCAAUGGGCGCAAGCCUGACGGUGCGAUGCCGCGUGAGGGAUGACGGCCUUCGGGUUGUAAACCUCUGUCAGGAGGGACGAAGAAUGUGACGGUACCUCCAGAGGAAGCCACGGCUAACUACGUGCCAGCAGCCGCGGUAAUACGUAGGUGGCGAGCGUUAUUCGGAUUUACUGGGCGUAAAGGGUCCGCAGGGGGCUUGUCAAGUCUGAUGUGAAAUCCCGAGGCUCAACUUCGGAACUGCAUUGGAUACUGGCGAGCUAGAGUGCACGAGGGGUGACCGGAAUUUCAGGUGUAGCGGUGGAAUGCGUAGAUAUCUGGAAGAACACCGAUGGCGAAGGCGGCUCACUGGCGUGCUACUGACCCUCAUGGACGAAAGCGUGGGUAGCAAACAGGAUUAGAUACCCUGGUAGUCCACGCUGUAAACGUUGCGCACUAGAUGUGAGGGGAUCUGAUCCCUCUCGUGUCCAAGCUAACGCGUUAAGUGCACCGCCUGGGGACUACGGCCGCAAGGUUAAAACUCAAAGGAAUUGACGGGGGCCCGCACAAGCGGUGGAGCAUGUGGCUCAAUUCGAGGCAACGCGAAGAACCUUACCUGGGUUUGACAUAAUCCUGAUCGCUGUGGAAACGCAGCUUCCCUUCGGGGCAGGAUUACAGGUGCUGCAUGGCUGUCGUCAGCUCGUGCCGUGAGGUGUUCGGUUAAGUCCGGCAACGAGCGCAACCCGUGUCGUCAGUUGCCAUCAGGUUAUGCUGGGCACUCUGGCGAGACUGCCCGUGUCAAGCGGGAGGAAGGCGCGGAUGACGUCAAGUCCGUAUGGCCCUUACGUCCAGGGCUGCACACGUGCUACAAUGGGCGGUACAAUGAGAAGCAAUACCGCGAGGUGGAGCAAAUCUGUAAAAACCGUCCCCAGUUCGGAUUGGAGUCUGCAACUCGACUCCAUGAAGUCGGAAUCGCUAGUAAAGGGGUAUCAGCAACGGCCCCUUGAAUACGUUCCCGGGCCUUGUACACACCGCCCGUCACAUCAUGGAAGCUGGCUGCACCCGAAGUCCACGACCUAACCCUCGGGAAGGAGUGGCGGAAGGUGUGUCCAGUAACUGGGAUGAAGUCGUAACAAGGUAGCCGUAGGGGAACCUGCGGCUG
RNAcentral lists this ribosomal RNA (1197 nucleotides) under metagenome. Its description in RNAcentral is "bacterial SSU rRNA". It matches the Rfam family "Bacterial small subunit ribosomal RNA", at positions 310 to 1520 of the family's 1533-position model. The record is from RNAcentral.